RNAcentral lists this ribosomal RNA (469 nucleotides) under uncultured bacterium. Its description in RNAcentral is "partial 16S ribosomal RNA". It matches the Rfam family "Bacterial small subunit ribosomal RNA", at positions 29 to 507 of the family's 1533-position model. The record is from RNAcentral.
ACGAACGCUGGCGGCGUGCUUAACACCUGCAAGUCGAACGCUGAAGCACCAGCUUGCUGGUGUGGAUGAGUGGCGAGCGGGUGAGUAAUACGUGAGUAACCUGCCCUUGACUCUGGGAUAAGCCCGGGAAACUGGGUCUAAUACUGGAUGCUACAUGUCACCGCAUGGUGGUGUGUGGAAAGGGUUUACUGGUCUUGGAUGGGCUCACGGCCUAUCAGCUUGUUGGUGAGGUAAUGGCUCACCAAGGCGACGACGGGUAGCCGGCCUGAGAGGGUGACCGGCCACACUGGGACUGAGACACGGCCCAGACUCCUACGGGAGGCAGCAGUGGGGAAUAUUGCACAAGGGGCGAAAGCCUGAUGCAGCGACGCCGCGGGAGGGAUGACGGCCUUCGGGUUGUAAACCUCUUUCAGCAGGGAAGAAGCCACAAGUGACGGUACCUGCAGAAGAAGCGCCGGCUAACUACGUG